GACGAACGCUGGCGGCGUGCUUAACACAUGCAAGUCGAACGGAAAGGCCCUGCUUUUGUGGGGUGCUCGAGUGGCGAACGGGUGAGUAACACGUGAGUACCCUGCACCUGACUUUGGGAUAACUUCAGGAAACUGGGGCUAAUACCGGCUAGGAGCUCCUGCUGCAUGGUGGGGGCUGGAAAGUUUCGGCGGUUGGGGAUGGACUCGCGCCCUAUCAGCUUGUUGGGGGGGUAGUGUCUUACCAAGGCCUUGACGGGUAGCCGGCCUGAGAGGGUGACCGGCCACAUUGGGACUGAGAUACGGCACAGACUCCUACGGGAGGCAGCAGUGGGGUAUAUUGCACAAUGGGCGGAAGCCUGACGCAGCAACGCCGCGUGCGGGAUGACGGCCUUCGGGUUGUAUACCACUUUCGCCUGUGACGAAGCGUGAGUGACGGUAAUGGGUAAAGAAGCACCGGCUAACUACGUG
RNAcentral lists this ribosomal RNA (468 nucleotides) under uncultured bacterium. RNAcentral describes it as "partial 16S ribosomal RNA". It matches the Rfam family "Bacterial small subunit ribosomal RNA", at positions 28 to 507 of the family's 1533-position model. The record is from RNAcentral.